Molecule: long non-coding RNA, 1355 nt
Organism: Ictalurus furcatus (blue catfish)
Lineage: Eukaryota; Metazoa; Chordata; Actinopteri; Siluriformes; Ictaluridae
Exons: 3
Source: RefSeq, a predicted model, not a curated record
UAUUAUUAUUUCACUAUUAUUAAAGGGAGAGCAUUUCACAUAUGACAUAACUAUACACUGCUCUAUACAAAACACACACACAACUCAUGUUUGAUGUUAUAAGUAUUUCUGAUCUCAUUAUUGUGGUUUAUUGUCGUACCGAUGCAUCACACCACUAAUCUAAAGUCUCUUUAGAGUUAACUCUUUAAAGUUUCUGGCUGGAGGAGGAUGUGAAUAAAUAUGAAUAAAUGAAUAUCAGAUGCAGCUUAAUAGCUUUAAACCACAUCCAGAGACACACACACACACACACACACACACACACACACACACACACACACACACACACACAAGGCGAGUGUUUGUGUGAUUAGAAGUCUGUGUUUGUGUAUCAUGUGAAAGCCUGUUAGUUUGAUCUCCAUGGCAACACUGUUUGAGCAAACCAUGGCUCAUUCUUCACACUCACACAUUUCACACAACACACACACACACACACACACACACACGCAAAUAGGGCUUCACAAUGCUACUCUGGAUAAAUAAACUGUGUGGAACAAACAGCCUGACAUUUAAAGCUUUUAAACCAUUAACGCUUUUAGCGUGUGUGUGUGUGUGUGUGUGUGUGUGUGUGUGUGUGUGUGAGAGAGAGAGAGAGAGAGAGAGAGAGAGAGACUCUAUUCACGCCAACAGAAACAAGAUGCAAUAAAACAUCCGGAAGCUGCUCGUUUUCAGCGAGUUACAGCCAUUUACAGCAACAGGAGGCAGAGCAAAGUCGGCGGGGUUACAGUAACAGCGACAAGUACAGAGGACUCUGUAAUCAUUGGCACUAUGAAGUUUUCUGUAAGGAGAAAUGUGUUUAUGUAACAUUUAUGGAAGGAGUCUCCAGUGUCAGAGACUCAAACGUUUUGAAGACUCACACACACACGCACACACACACACACACACAGACACACACACACUUACCGGCACUGACUGUGAUGGCCUCGAUGAACUGAUCUCUCCAGCUGUUUGUGCCGACCAGCAGCGCCAAGUUCGUCUUCUUAAUCAGUUUAUCAACAGUGUUCUACAGAGAGGGACAGAGUUAAUACACUUCCUGUUUACUGCUCGCAAAAUACACACACACACACACACUACAUUAUUAACAUCAUAAAAUGAUGAAAAAAUGGCUAAAAGAGUGAUAGAACAUUUCUUUGCAUUUCGUGUUUUGCAGUAUAAUGCCAUUUUAUUCCUGUUGGAAUAAAAAAUAAAUAAAUAAAUAAACAACAACAACAGCAACAAUAAUUAUUAUUAUAUGACUGUUUAUUUUCUGAUUUGUGCUUUGGCAAUAAUGCACUUGGCGCUGUUUUGCCAAUAAGAAUCUGCACCCCUCACACACACAC